CAAUUUGUUCCAGUGUCACAAUGGUGGCUUUGUGGGGUGUAGGGUGCUGUGGUGUGCUUAGAGUUUGGUCAGACAAAGACACUAAGAUCAUCUAGUGCAUCUUGGGCCAUCACCAGUUGUCCUGACUUUUUUUUCCAUCACUGGACUUUGAUGACUCUAGAAUAGUGAGUGAAACCUCACUCAAAUCCAACUCCCUUGUCAAUCAUCACCCCGGUGAUAUCAUUAGUCUUCUUCAAAAAGGAAGGACAAAAAACAAUUGCAUGGGAGGAACAGCAAGAAAGCAGAGAGUACAAAAAGCUUCUGGGAAAAAGAGGUGCUUCAAGAGAGAAAGAACUUCAAGGAAACAGGACUGAGGGUGGAGAGAAAAGUCUCAGAUAGAAAGGACUUAGUAAAUGUUUCUUGAAUUUAAUUCAACUAACUUGUAUGAUGCUGUUGGUUAGAGGAAAAACAAGAAAACAAAACUCUUGGAACAAAUAUCGUAAUUAAGAAAGCAAAUUCUCUGCUCCAAAAAUGGCUCAUUUUGAAUGCCUGCUUCCUCAUUGGUCUUCUGAAAAAGUGUUUUUUUGCUUUUUCAAUUCUGAGGUACCACCUCACACCUAUCAGAUUGGCCAAUAUGACAGUACAGGAAAGUGACAAAUGGUAGAAGGGAUGUGGCAAAAGUGGGGCAUUAAUGCAUUGUUGAUGGAGUUGUGAACCAAUCCAACCAAGCUGGAGGGCACUUUAUAACUAUGCCCAAAGGGCCAUAAAACUGUGUAUACCUUUUGAUCCUGUAGUACCACUAUUGGGUCUGUUUCCCAAAGAGAUCAUAAAAAAGGGGAAAGGAUCUAUUUGUACAAAAAUAUUCUUUUUGGGGGGCUUUCUAUGGUGGCAAUUGGAAAUUGAGGGGAUGUUCAUCAAUUGGGGAAUGGCUGAACCAAUUGUGAUAUAUUGAUGAUGGAAUACUAUUGUGCUCUGUAAGGAAUGAUGAGCAGUAUGAUUUCAGAAAAUACUGGAAAGAGCUACGUGAACUAAUGAGGAGUAAAAUAAAUAGAACUGGGCGAACACUGUACAAAGUAACAGCAAUAUUGACACAAUGAUCCAUGGUGAAAGACUUAGUUACUCUCAGCAAUCUAAUGAUCCAGGACAAUUCUGAAGGAUUUAUGACAAAGAAUGCUAUCCACCUCCAGAGAAGGAACUGUUGAAGUCAGAAUGCAGAUCAAAGCAUACUAUUUCUCAUAUUAGUCUAUUUAUGGUUUGAUUUUUGGGGUUUUGGUUUUAUGUAAGUAUUCUCUUACAACAAUGAUCAUUAUGGAAGUAUGUUUUGUAUGAUAAAUGUAUAACCCAGAUCAAAUUGCUUACCAUCUGCAAGAGGGGGGAGGGAAGGGAGGGAAGGAGACAGUUUGGAUCUUACAAUUUCGGGAAAUGUAUGCUGAAAAUUGUUAUUGCAUGAACUGGAGAAAAUAAAAUCUCUGAAAAUUAAAAA
Monodelphis domestica (gray short-tailed opossum) is the source of this 1462-nucleotide long non-coding RNA. RefSeq lists it as uncharacterized. The record is from RefSeq and is a predicted model, not a curated record. Lineage: Eukaryota; Metazoa; Chordata; Mammalia; Didelphimorphia; Didelphidae.